AUAGCAUAAUAAAAAUCUAAUUUUUCUAGACAAAGUAUCCUUAGUAAAAUUACAAACUGGUAAUUUUUUAUGUUUAUUUAUUUAUUUUGAGAGAGAGAGAGAGAGAGAGAGAGAGAGAAUGUGAGCAUGAGUGAGGGAGGGGCAGAGAGAGAGAAGGAGAGAGAGAAUUCCAAGCAUGUUCUGUGCUGUCAGUGCAGGGACUAUGAGAUCAUGACCUGAGCUGAGAUCAAGAGCGGGACACAACCAACUGAGCCAUUCAAGUGCCCCUACAAAUGCUAAUUUUUAUAAUUAUCAUUACUGAAUUUAUGCUGAAAAAUAUUCAGGUUGGAAAUGUUUGAGAGCUGAAGGAAACCUGUAGCUCUGAUUAGAAUGAACUUAGAUUAUACAGAAGGCCUGCCCUACAAUUAUACAUGUGCCGACAUUAAAACUCAGAGAAGCAGCAGCCCAUGGUACAAGGACUAAGUGGAAGCUUAAUAUAAUAUAAUAUAAUGGAAACCAUAUGGUGCAUGGGCAGGCAGCCCCUUGCCGUGGAUACUACGUUGUUCUCACCACAUUAAUGUACACACUGAAGACCAACCAAGGGAGGUGCCAAAUUAUAAACUUCAUCAUGGUAGGAUGGAAAAAAAACAUUGAUGGAGGCAGAGAAAACAGACACAGGAGAAAACACUCAAGUUAAAGACAGAAAAAGAGAAAUAACUACAGAGCCAUGGAAGAUAAAUCAUUAUUUGGAUUAAUGGCCUUUAUGUUGUGGAGUUUAUUGAAAGAAGCACAUAUGUGUGGAAAUCUAUUAAAAAGAAAAGUUAUCUGCAAUUUAUUUUAAUUAAACAAAAUGAAAAGAGUGAACAUGAAAAAGUAUGUGGAAAAAAUCACAAUAAAAACUGUUAAAUAAGAAGUAACUUCUUAGCA
This 906-nucleotide long non-coding RNA is filed under the name Felis catus (domestic cat). RNAcentral's name for it is "lncRNA (ENSFCAG00000042176.2)". The record is from RNAcentral. Lineage: Eukaryota; Metazoa; Chordata; Mammalia; Carnivora; Felidae.